Molecule: RNA transcript, 1551 nt
Organism: Panicum virgatum (switchgrass)
Lineage: Eukaryota; Viridiplantae; Streptophyta; Magnoliopsida; Poales; Poaceae
Exons: 4
Source: RefSeq, a predicted model, not a curated record
CACACCUUGCGGCCAGGAGGCAGGGAGCCGGCCAUGGAGUGGAGGGAGCAGGCUGCCGUGCAUUUCCUGCUUUUUAUUACGACACCCCUUGCCGGAGCGGGACCUCACGUUUCUCGGCGCCACUCAGCGAACAUGCGUGCGCCAUUAUCAGGGAGCUUUUUUAUGGUGUACGAUAUUACCACUUGGUAUUACGUAGUAUAGAAAAGAUCCAACCGUCCAUUAAAAAGGUUAGGAUUGUCAUUAUUAGUUUAAUAUAAAUUGAUAAGAAUUUUUAUUUUUUUGCAAUUUAGCCCCAUCAAUCCAUCUGCUCUCGUUCAUUCCAGGCUGCCGGCGCCGCCGACGGCCGCCCGCCCCUCCCAUCCGUCGUGGAUCUCACGAGCGCCGGGCCGCCGGUCGUGCCCCCUCCUCCUCCCUUCCAGGCCGUCGGCCCUCAUCGGGCGCCAUUCGUGGUGGCACCCUUGACUGGCCUCAGCCUCCUCCCCGACCCUGUGACUGCGUGGUCGGGCAUCAUCGUCGUUGGCGGCUAGAAGAUCGAGUUCCCACUCCCGGACAGGCGCCGGUGGCCCUUGCCACGCACGGGGCCGUUGGCGACGCCGGCCCUAUCCGGUAACCGCGCGUGGCGCCUCACCUCGUGCGCCGUUCGUGGCGCUGCCCUGACCAACGACCGCGUCCUCCCCCUUCCCGCCGGCGUUGGGCGUCCUCCGUGCCACUCGUUUUCCUCUCCCGAGGAUCCUGUGCAGCCAUCGCCGCCGCAUCCUCUCCGUACACACGACCUCCCCUUGCCGGCUGCAGUCUCUAGUCCCCGCUGUUGGCCGGGGGGCACCGGCCCUUGCUGCGCGCGCCACCGCAGAUGCCGCCUCCUGCAGUGCAGGCCCUUGCUGGCUGCAUUCGCCGUCGGCCCUGGCUGGCCCCCGUCCGGCGUUAUUUCUGUGCGUUGGAGGCGGUGACUCAUCCUGGCCACUGGAACCGGUGCUUUCUGGUUGACAUGAAAGCAUUGGUUUCCAUGAACGAAGAAGAUAUGAAGUCUUUAGGAACUCCAAUGUGUGGCUAUCAUAAGAACCAAAUGCUCUAGAGAGUAAAAACUCAGGGUCCCAGGAAAAAGAUACUAUCAGCAUUGGCUCACAAAAAGAGGAAGUCAUCAAAACUAUUGCCUAGCAGUUGAGAGAUAUCUGGGCUUGUGUAUUAGCUAGACAGCUUGUUGAUGUAUGGUUCCAUUGCUAUCCAGAUUAUUUGGAUCAUUGGAUGUCAAUUUACGAUGCCUUGGGAUUGUCCAGUAGUUCUGAAGUCCCGCAGGCUGCAGCUGCAAUCUAAGACCAGUAGGGUUUCAAUCUUUUGUUUCGCUCAGUUUGUACUGUUGUGUAUUGCUAUAGGAACCUAUCUUAUGCAGCUCUCUACCUCGUCUACUGAGGUUGUACCUGCCUGAGCUUGUAAAAGAGUAUGUCGGGAAUCCCCUCGUGUAAACAUUCUUGCAAUUAUUCUCUUGUAAUUUACCGUUUGAGGCAUGAGUUAGCUCAUAAAAUCUUUAUGUAAAAUCAAUAUUCUGCGACUCUA